This 795-nucleotide ribosomal RNA is filed under the name uncultured Methanosaeta sp. Its description in RNAcentral is "bacterial SSU rRNA". It matches the Rfam family "Archaeal small subunit ribosomal RNA", at positions 85 to 879 of the family's 1478-position model. Lineage: Archaea; Methanobacteriati; Methanobacteriota; Methanomicrobia; Methanotrichales; Methanotrichaceae. The record is from RNAcentral.
ACUGCUCAGUAACACGUGGACAACCUGCCCUGAGGACUGGAAUAAUCCCGGGAAACUGGGAGUAAUUCCAGAUAUGCCAGGGAACCUGGAAUGGUUUCUGGCAGAAAUGCUCCGGCGCCUCAGGAUGGGUCUGCGGCCUAUCAGGGUAGUAGUGGGUGUAACGUACCCACUAGCCUACGACGGGUACGGGUUGUGAGAGCAAGAGCCCGGAGAUGGAUUCUGAGACAUGAAUCCAGGCCCUACGGGGUGCAGCAGGCGCGAAAACUUUACAAUGCGGGCAACCGCGAUAAGGGGACCUCGAGUGCUGGGUUACAAACCUGGCUGUUGGGCUGCCUAAAAAGCAGUCUAUAGCAAGGGCCGGGCAAGACCGGUGCCAGCCGCCGCGGUAACACCGGCGGCUCGAGUGGUAACCGCUGUUAUUGGGUCUAAAGGGUCUGUAGCCUGCCGGCUAAGUCUCUUGGGAAAUCUGGCAUCUCAAGUGUCAGGCUGCCAGGGGAUACUGGUCAGCUUGGGACCGGGAGAGGUGAGAGGUACCUCAGGGGUAGGGGUGAAAUCUUGUAAUCCUUGAGGGACCACCAGUGGCGAAGGCGUCUCACCAGAACGGAUCCGACGGCAAGGGACGAAAGCUAGGGGCACGAACCGGAUUAGAUACCCGGGUAGUCCUAGCCGUAAACGAUACUCGCUAGGUGUCGGCCACGGUGCGACCGUGGUCGGUGCCGUAGGGAAGCCGUGAAGCGAGCCACCUGGGAAGUACGGCCGCAAGGCUGAAACUUAAAGGAAUUGGCGGGGGAGCAC